Molecule: long non-coding RNA, 763 nt
Filed under: Physcomitrium patens
Lineage: Eukaryota; Viridiplantae; Streptophyta; Bryopsida; Funariales; Funariaceae
Description: long non-coding RNA (PPAT_LNC008875)
Source: RNAcentral
GUUCCACUCCACGCUUCUCUGCUUCCACUUCAAUUUUUUCUUCAGCCUUGUCUACCACCCCUCCAAUCUUAUCUUCAGCUUUCUCUGCCAAUGCUUCGGGUGUAACCGACUCUACGUCCAGUUUUUCCUUUAAAACUUCCUCUCCAGUUUGAACAGAUGAUUUAGCUUUCUCUGCCAAUGCUUCGGGUGUAACCGACUCUACUUCCAGUUUUUCCUUCAAUGCUUCCUCUCCAGUCUGAAUAGCUGCUUUGAGAUCUGGAAGUUCUACUCCACGCUUCUCUGCUUCCACUUCAAUUUUUUCUUCAGCCUUGUCUACCAUCUCUCCGAUCUUAUCUUUAGCUUUUUCUGCCAAUGCUUCAGGUGUAACCGACUCUACGUCCAGUUUUUCCUUUAAAACUUCCUCUCCAGUUUGAGUAGCUGCUUUGACCUCAGAACCCUUAGGGAGGAGGACUCUUCCGACUUCCUGCGUAAUUUUAUAAAAUGAAUGUGUGAUGAUUAGACGACAAAGCUAUUUGAAAUCCGCAAUCUAACUUAGGGGCCUUUCGAUCCAUUGCCAACUCGCUUAGGGAAGAAUACACACAAGUUUAAUGACCUCCAAACCGAUUUCUCACUUAAUCCUCUGUUAAUCAAGAACUUCAGCUACAUAAUAUCUGCAAAAUUGUACUUCAAGUGCCUGAUGGCGUAGUCUCACUUCAACACAAUAAUCAUAUAGUUAUAAAAUCAUGAAGAGGUAGACAUAAAAAGGAAAAGAAAAGGAACCUUG